Molecule: non-coding RNA, 87 nt
Organism: Gossypium hirsutum (cotton)
Lineage: Eukaryota; Viridiplantae; Streptophyta; Magnoliopsida; Malvales; Malvaceae
Source: Rfam
CACGUCAGCGCACUUUACUGACAUGGACACAAAUCGCGCUUACGUGGACGCGAUUUGCUGCCACGUCAAAAAAUCGCGCUGACGUGA